This 159-nucleotide ribosomal RNA is filed under the name Vibrio parahaemolyticus. Its description in RNAcentral is "partial 16S ribosomal RNA". It matches the Rfam family "Bacterial small subunit ribosomal RNA", at positions 1 to 140 of the family's 1533-position model. The record is from RNAcentral. Lineage: Bacteria; Pseudomonadati; Pseudomonadota; Gammaproteobacteria; Vibrionales; Vibrionaceae.
CUUAAAUUGAAGAGUUUGAUCAUGGCUCAGAUUGAACGCUGGCGGCAGGCCUAACACAUGCAAGUCGAGCGGAAACGAGUUAUCUGAACCUUCGGGGAACGAUAACGGCGUCGAGCGGCGGACGGGUGAGUAAUGCCUAGGAAAUUGCCCUGAUGUGGG